CACUAGCCCUGAUUGCAGUGUAAAUCCUGUUGUUGUGAGAUUGCCUCGCAAGCUCGCAAUGACAGAUUGCAAUGGAAAGCAGGAACAGGG
Molecule: small RNA, 90 nt
Filed under: Flavobacterium cauense R2A-7
Lineage: Bacteria; Pseudomonadati; Bacteroidota; Flavobacteriia; Flavobacteriales; Flavobacteriaceae
Description: Flavo-1 RNA
Rfam family: Flavo-1 RNA
Source: RNAcentral